AACCUGCAGCCAGCUUUUGCCCAGUGAAUGCACGAGCUUUCAACUGCAAAAACACUGGAUUCAUUAACCAUCUGAAUGCAAAACAUGCCUACAAAAUCUCCCUGGAGCUAGAAAUGAAGUAGUCAUAUUUGCCUGCUCCUUGAGAUCUGAAGGAAUUCAAUUUCUUUUCUUCUGGCAUAUAAAAUAUAAUUUUAAAGUCAAUUACAAGAAAGUAAUCUGCAUUCUGCAAAAUUGACUGGUUCUCUAAUUUGACUAUAAGACAUCUUUAAUGAUUGUCAGGAGAUAAACUUUAACUGUAAACGGCUAUAUAUAUUUAUAAGAAAAGUACUGCAUCUCUUGCCACA
This is a long non-coding RNA of Sapajus apella (tufted capuchin), 344 nucleotides long. RefSeq lists it as uncharacterized. NCBI's taxonomy places the organism in Eukaryota, Metazoa, Chordata, Mammalia, Primates, Cebidae. The record is from RefSeq and is a predicted model, not a curated record. The transcript has 2 exons.